AAGCUGGAAGGUGAGGUGAUUGCCUCCUACAUCGUCGCCAGCCUUGACGCUGAUAUCAACCCUGUUGUCUCUGCCAUGCCAGCACACACCGAGCCACUAUCGCUUGGGGAACUCUACACACAGCUAGUCAGUGGGAGC
This 138-nucleotide small nucleolar RNA is filed under the name Sorghum bicolor (sorghum). RNAcentral's name for it is "Small nucleolar RNA Z247". It matches the Rfam family "Small nucleolar RNA Z247". From Rfam's summary of the family: Z247 is a member of the C/D class of snoRNA which contain the C (UGAUGA) and D (CUGA) box motifs. Lineage: Eukaryota; Viridiplantae; Streptophyta; Magnoliopsida; Poales; Poaceae. The record is from Rfam by way of RNAcentral.